RNAcentral lists this ribosomal RNA (463 nucleotides) under Daphnia cf. pulicaria hybrid BOLB3. Its description in RNAcentral is "partial 12S ribosomal RNA". The stretch from base 130 to 463 matches the Rfam family "Microsporidia small subunit ribosomal RNA", at positions 752 to 1197 of the family's 1311-position model. Lineage: Eukaryota; Metazoa; Arthropoda; Branchiopoda; Diplostraca; Daphniidae. The record is from RNAcentral.
UGGGGAAAUUUUGUUGAUAAGGUGAAAUUUUUAAUGUAAGGGAAAUUCUUAAGAAAUCUGUUGAGACUAAAAAAUUUAGGUAAAAAACCAGGAUUAGAUACCCUGUUAUUCUAAAUAAUAAUGUAAAUAGGGUAGUAAAAGUUGCUCUUCAAACCCAAAGAUUUUGGCGGCAUCUUAUCCUAAUAGAGGAGCUUGUCCUAUAAUUGAUAGUCCCCAUUUUAUCUUACCCUUUUUUGUUAAGCUUGUAUACCGCCGUUGUCAGAUUACUUUAAAAGAACGUUUUCAGGAAAAAUAUUUUUCUUACUUCAGGUCAAGGUGCAGUUUAUAAAAGGGCAGUGAUGAGCUACAAUUUUUAAUAGAAAUACGGAUUUUAGGCUUGAAACUCAGGUGAAGGUGGAUUUAUUAGUAAAUUUACUUAAGUACAGUAAGUUGAAUAGGGCAAUAGGAUGUGCACAUAUCGCCC